RNAcentral lists this transfer RNA (74 nucleotides) under Nuclearia simplex. Its description in RNAcentral is "tRNA-Ser". It matches the Rfam family "tRNA". Rfam says of the family: Transfer RNA (tRNA) molecules are approximately 80 nucleotides in length. Their secondary structure includes four short double-helical elements and three loops (D, anti-codon, and T loops). Further hydrogen bonds mediate the characteristic L-shaped molecular structure. tRNAs have two regions of fundamental functional importance: the anti-codon, which is responsible for specific mRNA codon recognition, and the 3' end, to which the tRNAs corresponding amino acid is attached (by aminoacyl-tRNA synthetases). tRNAs cope with the degeneracy of the genetic code in two manners: having more than one tRNA (with a specific anti-codon) for a particular amino acid; and 'wobble' base-pairing, i.e. permitting non-standard base-pairing at the 3rd anti-codon position. The record is from RNAcentral. Lineage: Eukaryota; Rotosphaerida; Nucleariidae.
GGAAAGAUGUCUGAGUGGUCUAAGGUCACUGUUUUGAAAGCAGUUUAUCGAGGGUUCAAAUCCCUCUCUUUCCU